UGGGGAAUUUUGGACAAUGGGGGAAACCCUGAUCCAGCCAUCCCGCGUGUGCGAUGAAGGCCUUAGGGUUGUAAAGCACUUUUGGCAGGAAAGAAACGUCAUGGGUUAAUACCCCGUGAAACUGACGGUACCUGCAGAAUAAGCACCGGCUAACUACGUGCCAGCAGCCGCGGUAAUACGUAGGGUGCAAGCGUUAAUCGGAAUUACUGGGCGUAAAGCGUGCGCAGGCGGUUCGGAAAGAAAGAUGUGAAAUCCCAGAGCUCAACUUUGGAACUGCAUUUUUAACUACCGGGCUAGAGUGUGUCAGAGGGAGGUGGAAUUCCGCGUGUAGCAGUGAAAUGCGUAGAUAUGCGGAGGAACACCGAUGGCGAAGGCAGCCUCCUGGGAUAACACUGACGCUCAUGCACGAAAGCGUGGGGAGCAAACAGG
Molecule: ribosomal RNA, 429 nt
Filed under: Acidobacteriota bacterium
Lineage: Bacteria; Pseudomonadati; Acidobacteriota
Description: Acidobacteria bacterium partial 16S ribosomal RNA
Rfam family: Bacterial small subunit ribosomal RNA
Source: RNAcentral